UACGUAGGGUGCAAGCGUUGUCCGGAAUUAUUGGGCGUAAAGAGCUUGUAGGCGGUUUGUCGCGUCUGCCGUGAAAGUCCGGGGCUCAACUCCGGAUCUGCGGUGGGUACGGGCAGACUAGAGUGAUGUAGGGGAGACUGGAAUUCCUGGUGUAGCGGUGAAAUGCGCAGAUAUCAGGAGGAACACCGAUGGCGAAGGCAGGUCUCUGGGCAUUAACUGACGCUGAGACACGAAGGCCAGGGGAGCAAACGGG
This 253-nucleotide ribosomal RNA is filed under the name uncultured bacterium. Its description in RNAcentral is "partial 16S ribosomal RNA". It matches the Rfam family "Bacterial small subunit ribosomal RNA", at positions 524 to 776 of the family's 1533-position model. The record is from RNAcentral.